This 509-nucleotide ribosomal RNA is filed under the name uncultured bacterium. RNAcentral's name for it is "partial 16S ribosomal RNA". The stretch from base 20 to 332 matches the Rfam family "Bacterial small subunit ribosomal RNA", at positions 47 to 358 of the family's 1533-position model. The record is from RNAcentral.
GACGAACGCUGGCGGCGUGCUUAACACAUGCAAGUCGAACGGAAAGGCCCUGCUUUUGUGGGGUGCUCGAGUGGCGAACGGGUGAGUAACACGUGAGUAACCUGCCCUUGACUUUGGGAUAACUUCAGGAAACUGGGGCUAAUACCGGAUAGGAGCUCCUGCUGCAUGGUGGGGGUUGGAAAGUUUCGGCGGUUGGGGAUGGACUCGCGGCUUAUCAGCUUGUUGGUGGGGUAGUGGCUUACCAAGGCUUUGACGGGUAGCCGGCCUGAGAGGGUGACCGGCCACAUGGGGGCGGGGCGACGGCCAAGGCCGGGGCGGGGGGGGGAGGUGGGGAGGAGGGCGCGAGGGGGGGGAUCGGGGGGCGGAAGCGGGGGGGGGGUGCUGACGGCGUUGUGGUGGUAACCCGCUUGCGCGUGGGACGAAGCGGGGGAGGCGGUGAGGAGAAAAGAAGCACCGGGUAACAACGUGCAGGCAGGGGGGGAAAGAAGGGGAAGAGCCAGCGUCUGAGC